Molecule: long non-coding RNA, 1762 nt
Filed under: Homo sapiens (human)
Lineage: Eukaryota; Metazoa; Chordata; Mammalia; Primates; Hominidae
Description: HSALNT0021897
Source: RNAcentral
GUCAUAUUCUCCUAAAGAAGUGUUGCUUCCUCCACAUUCCAGGCUUGCAGUAAUAUAUACCCACCUGAUAAGUGGACCAUGAAGACUCUUUCUGCUUGAUUCCUACUAAGCAGAGACUCAUUACUUUCCACACCUGACAUUUUAAGUAGUAGCCCUGGGGUGCCGCUCCCCCUUGUUCCUGUGCAUCUCUGAGCUUUUCAUGAUCAGCUAAACUUCCACAUUCUUUUACUAUAACUGGCUUGGGAAUGGGGGAGAAAUAAUCUUCCAAAGAGGAACACAAGGAAAAGCAUUUGAUUUCUACUCUCCAAAUAUUUGGUGAGAUUUGGGAAGCAACCAGGAAUGUGAGCUUCAAAAAAUUGGGCGAUUCCUCCAAGGUGGAAGUCUUUUGGCACACUGAAUCUUUUGGUCCACCGGCUUCUUGAGAAGCCUUUAAGGCCAACCGAUCCCCAGAACAAGAUCUCUCUUGGGCUUCACUGCGAGUUAUUCUUUGGAAAAUGCACUUCUGAAUUCACUUUUUGUAUUGUCUCAGGAAAAUCCUGUUUGUGAAAAUGCCUCAUGGUAUCUCCCUGAAUCUGAAGAAGUAAAGAGAAAGACUGUUUGCUUUGAUGUAAUCAGAUUCUCUGGAAUUUAAUCCUAUAUCCUAUUUAUGGCUGAGCUAGCCAUUCAAAAUUAAAAUGAACCUUUCAUCCAUGUGUAUCAUAAAUGGGCAUUUAUCAGGAUUAUAUGAUUUUGCAAUCCAUCUGAAUACGUAACCAGAAUUUGUUUUCUUUCCAUUUCACUAUGUAAUUACCAUGCAACAAUAACAAAAGUGACAUGUUUGAAGAACAGAUAAAAUGCUGUAAAUUGGCCAGUAAUGGUGAUAUUUCCUCAUCUUCUCAAAAACCCAUUUAUUCUCUCUCUCAACAAAUCAAGGCAUUGUCAGCCCAUACUCAUCUUGUGGCCAGAGGGGCUCCACCAAUUUCUGGAUGUAAGUGAGUCCUGGAAUGCAGAUGAGGCCGACUAACGAAAGCUUUCAGUGCAGGCAGCUGGUCUUUGCUUGCCUCAAUUUUUAAAUCAUCCAUAAUGGGGCCAAGACCUCCCAAGCACUAAAAAGAGCGAGCUGACAUGCUGGAUAAACUGUUAAUUUUUUCCUGAAGAAGCUGCUAUAUUGCACAUCUGUCACUGCAGUGCAGACAAUUACUCACUGAGUCAGGGAAAAAAAUCUGCCGCUUGUUUCUAGCUGAGUUGUUAAGGGACUUAAUGGAGAAAUACAAUGGCGUGGGAGUCAAAACAUGCUGCUUUCCCAUGUGCUUGGCAAUUGUUCCCUCCUUUUGGAAGACUGUCUUGUAAUAUUAAAACAUGUGAAGUAGACUAAGAUGUGUGUUUAGAAAAACAGCAAAGGAAUUAGAAGAGGUACAAUAAAAGGACAGGCAUAUAAAGAUGUGGGACGAUCAAGAAUCUAGCCUUACAGAUUACAGGCCACUGUACUUAUUGCUGAGAACGUAACAACGCUGUGGCCAGUGUAUUAGAAAUAUUGUGAUUUUUCACAUUAUAAAUUUCAAACUUUUAAUAUAUAUUCCCCAAGUGCUUCACAACCAUCUAAAAAUUAUUUUAUGAAUUUCAUGCCUCGUAUAUGCAAUGUGGAUCAUCUAUACUGUUUCCAUAAUGAAUUACAGCCAUCAAUGAGACACUUUAGAAUCCCAGAUUUGUCAGUCAUCUAACAGAACUUUAGUUGUUUUUUUCUUCGCUAAAUCAUUUGCAUGUCAUACAUAUGAAAUCCUGG